CAAAAUAACACUUUACAUUACAUUUGACAGUUUAGUCACUUAGCAGACAUUCUCAUCCAGAGCGACUAACAGUUGGAGCGUUCAUCUUAAAAUAGCAAGGCAGAAACUCAAACAGGAUGUUCCCGUGACAAGGACUAUUCAAUGCUGGUCUGACCAAUUGGAAUCCACGCUUCAAGAUUGUUUUGGUCAUGCGGACUGGGACGUGUUCCGGGUAGCCUCAGAGAAUAAUAUUGAUUUAUACGCUGGUUCGGACCUGAGCCCUAGGACCAUGCCUCAGGACUACCUGGCAUGAUGACUCCUUGCUGUCCCCAGUCCACCUGGCCAUGCUG
Molecule: long non-coding RNA, 329 nt
Filed under: Salmo salar (Atlantic salmon)
Lineage: Eukaryota; Metazoa; Chordata; Actinopteri; Salmoniformes; Salmonidae
Description: lncRNA (ENSSSAG00000106371.1)
Source: RNAcentral